This 29-nucleotide non-coding RNA is filed under the name Mus musculus (house mouse). The record is from RNAcentral. Lineage: Eukaryota; Metazoa; Chordata; Mammalia; Rodentia; Muridae.
UAGAAUUGUAAACUUCUCUGUUCAGGAUG